AUUGAACGCUGGCGGCAUGCCUUACACAUGCAAGUCGAACGGUAACAGGUCUUCGGAUGCUGACGAGUGGCGAACGGGUGAGUAAUACAUCGGAACGUGCCCGAUCGUGGGGGAUAACGAGGCGAAAGCUUUGCUAAUACCGCAUACGAUCUACGGAUGAAAGCGGGGGAUCUUCGGACCUCGCGCGGACGGAGCGGCCGAUGGCAGAUUAGGUAGUUGGUGGGAUAAAAGUUUACCAAGCCGACGAUCUGUAGCUGGUCUGAGAGGAUGAUCAGCCACACUGGGACUGAGACACGGCCCAGACUCCUACGGGAGGCAGCAGUGGGGAAUUUUGGACAAUGGGCGAAAGCCUGAUCCAGCCAUGCCGCGUGCAGGAUGAAGGCCUUCGGGUUGUAAACUGCUUUUGUACGGAACGAAAAGCCUCUUUCUAAUAAAGAGGGGUCAUGACGGUACCGUAAGAAUAAGCACCGGCUAACUACGUG
This 482-nucleotide ribosomal RNA is filed under the name uncultured bacterium. Its description in RNAcentral is "partial 16S ribosomal RNA". It matches the Rfam family "Bacterial small subunit ribosomal RNA", at positions 30 to 507 of the family's 1533-position model. The record is from RNAcentral.